UACGGAGGAUGCGAGCGUUAUCCGGAUUUAUUGGGUUUAAAGGGUGCGUAGGCGGAUCGUUAAGUCAGCGGUCAAAUUGAGGGGCUCAACCCCUUCCCGCCAUUGAAACUGGCGCUCUUGAGUGGAAGAGAAGUAUGCGGAAUGCGUGGUGUAGCGGUGAAAUGCAUAGAUAUCACGCAGAACCCCGAUUGCGAAGGCAGCAUGCCGGCUUCCGACUGACGCUGAAGCACGAAAGCGUGGGGAUCGAACAGG
Molecule: ribosomal RNA, 252 nt
Filed under: uncultured bacterium
Lineage: Bacteria
Description: partial 16S ribosomal RNA
Rfam family: Bacterial small subunit ribosomal RNA
Source: RNAcentral